GAAGGGAUGAAUAAUCCGUAAUCUGCAUAGAAAUGAAAUCAAAAGGGUCAAUCCUCUGACUACUUAUGAUCAUGGAGAAAAUAGAUGCGCUUAGCAACACAGAAUAGGACAUAUUAUGACUAGUAAAAUAAUAUCCCAUGUACUUUUGGUCAAGUACCCUAGGUUAGACAAGCUGGGCCUCCUAUGCAGCUGAGUUGGAGGGGACGGACAGGUUUUAGGAAACAAGUUGGGAUUGAUCACACAAGGGAUACCUCACUGCGCUGAUGACAGUGGAUUACAAACAAAAUUAGGUAAACACGCAAAUCUUAAGUGAAGAUAUGGCUUCGCUGAAUACACUAUUGUUGUGAUUCAAUAGAAUAUAAAUAUGACAU
Molecule: unclassified non-coding RNA, 371 nt
Filed under: Hevea brasiliensis (rubber tree)
Lineage: Eukaryota; Viridiplantae; Streptophyta; Magnoliopsida; Malpighiales; Euphorbiaceae
Source: RNAcentral